UACGUAGGGGGCAAGCGUUGUCCGGAUUUAUUGGGCGUAAAGAGCGUGUAGGCGGCCAUGCAGGUCCGUUGUGAAAACUCGAGGCCCAACCUCGAGACGUCGAUGGAAACCUCAUGGCUAGAGUCCGGAAGAGGAGAGCGGAAUUCCUGGUGUAGCGGUGAAAUGCGCAGAUAUCAGGAAGAACACCCGUGGCGAAGGCGGCUCUCUGGGACGGUACUGACACUCAGGGACGAAAGCGAGGGGAGCGAAUGGG
RNAcentral lists this ribosomal RNA (253 nucleotides) under uncultured bacterium. Its description in RNAcentral is "partial 16S ribosomal RNA". It matches the Rfam family "Bacterial small subunit ribosomal RNA", at positions 524 to 776 of the family's 1533-position model. The record is from RNAcentral.